GCCACCCUCUCGGCCUGCACCUGAGCGCCACCUUUUCCGGUGUCCUCGGGGAGGAGGAGAAGAAACAGGAAGUGUUUCCGGUGUUUUUGCUGCUCCAAUGACUGAUCCUUAUCUAUUGCACUUUCGAUAUGAGUCUAAACUAAGUACCGUACCCUCCAUCGCUUCACCGAUCCGACGGUCCACAUCGGCGAUCGGGCUCCUCCAUCUUCUCUGCGUUCGGCCGCUGCUUCCGUACCCCCGAAUCGCUGUUCCCAAUAGGGUUCUUGUUACAGAACUGAAGAGUAUGAUGAGGAUAAAGGAGACUGACGAAUAUGAAGAGGAUGCAUCUGAACAUGAUGGAGAAGAUGAACAAGAAACUCCAAGACCCACCAAGGAGGAAUGAGAAUUUCACAUGUUGAGGGAACAACUAAAGGACAGGAUUAGAAGAAAUCUUGAAAAAACAAAUGCCAAGGCUUUUUGUCAUUUGUCUCAAACCCAUGACAAGAGAAGAACAAUACCAAAUGGCAUCCUUCUACACAAAACUUAUCGCAUGGCAACCUUGAUGAUUGCUAAAAGAGAGCCUGCUGAAAGAAAUUUAAGUGAUGAGGAAGACUUUAAUUAUCACUAUCUUAUCAGGGGAAUGUUCAGGUACAAUCCUAGUAAAUAUUCAGGGAUUGAUGAGGAUGACAGCGAUCAUGGAAGUUGGUUGUGAUGUAACACAGAAAGAAGAGCGAAUAAGUUAUGGAUGCAUGUUUCUUCAUCAUGUUCCAAGAUUGCCAGAAAGGAGGACGAAGAGCAGCUUCGCUCGAUUGUGGAAGAAGAGGCACUGCAGAGAUAGCUGAGAAGAAUGAAGGAAAAGCUAAAGCAUGGCUAGGUGAUGCUGCAGAGCUGAUAACAUCUCCCAAGUUUACCUCAUUGUAGAUUGCCAAUGAAGAAGUAAUGAAGCACAGCUACGGGUUGAAAGUUAACCAGAAAAAAAGAGAGAAUUCUUAUUCAAAGUUUUUGGAAGAAAGCUCAUCGUGCAGUGCAUGCGAUAUACGCAAAAAUGGAUUUAAUGAUUUUUUUUGUGAGAACUGUUACCUCGCUACUGCAACAACAACGACAAGCCUUAGUGUCUCAAUUAUUUUUUUGUUAAAAAUCUUAAUGUAUUCCUCAUCCUUGCCAAUGUGAUUACAAUGCAGUACUUGUUGUUGCUCCAGCAAGAAUCAUUGUUCUGAGAAAUUUUGAGGCAUUAUUGUAUAAA
This is a long non-coding RNA of Musa acuminata AAA Group (dessert banana), 1222 nucleotides long. RefSeq lists it as uncharacterized. The transcript has 5 exons. The record is from RefSeq and is a predicted model, not a curated record. NCBI's taxonomy places the organism in Eukaryota, Viridiplantae, Streptophyta, Magnoliopsida, Zingiberales, Musaceae.